Molecule: ribosomal RNA, 411 nt
Filed under: Aedes tremulus
Lineage: Eukaryota; Metazoa; Arthropoda; Insecta; Diptera; Culicidae
Description: eukaryotic LSU rRNA
Rfam family: 5.8S ribosomal RNA (bases 1-129)
Source: RNAcentral
GCUCGUGGAUCGAUGAAGACCGCAGCUAAAUGCGCGUCAGAAUGUGAACUGCAGGACACAUGAACACCGACAAGUUGAACGCAUAUUGCACAUCGUACAACAGUACGAUGUACACAUUUUUGAGUGCCUAUAUUUACCCAUUCAACUAUACGUGCUGCGCGCUUCACUCCGGGUGGACAGGCGCAGGUACCGCGUAUGCGGAGUGAUGUUUUCCCGCCUUCGGUGGCGGUAAAACAUUGAAGAUAGUCAGGCGUGCGUGCCUCCCCCGCAAAGGGGGGCCCGUGCGGUUGAUGAAUACAUCCCAUAGGCCACACACCCUCCGGUUGGCUAUGUUGUAUUCCAUCAGCACUAACCUAACUCACUCACUCAGUAGGCCUCAAAUAAUGUGUGACUACCCCCUAAAUUUAAGCA